GUUAGGAAUAUUGGACAAUGGGCGCAAGCCUGAUCCAGCCAUGUCGCGUGAGUGAUGAAGGCCUUCGGGUUGUAAAGCUCUUUAGUCCACGAAUAUAAUGACUGUAGUGGAAGAAUAAGCCCCGGCUAACUUCGUGCCAGCAGCCGCGGUAAUACGAAGGGGGCGAGCGUUAUUCGGAAUCACUGGGCGUAAAGCGUGCGUAGGCUGUUUUGUAAGUCAGAAGUGAAAGCCCAGGGCUUAACCCUGGAAUUGCUUUUGAAACUACAGGACUCGAAUUCGGGAGAGGAUAGCGGAAUUGUCAGUGUAGCAGUGAAAUGCGUAGAUAUUGACAGGAACACCAGUGGCGCAAGCGGCUAUCUGGACCGAUAUUGACGCUGAGGCACGAAAGCGUGGGGAGCAAACAGGAUUAGAAACCCCUGUAGUCC
This 425-nucleotide ribosomal RNA is filed under the name uncultured bacterium. RNAcentral's name for it is "partial 16S ribosomal RNA". It matches the Rfam family "Bacterial small subunit ribosomal RNA", at positions 354 to 796 of the family's 1533-position model. The record is from RNAcentral.